UGUCAGCAGCCGCGGUAAUACGGAGGAUGCGAGCGUUAUCCGGAUUUAUUAGGUUUAAAGGGUGUGUAGGCGGACGAUUAAGUCAGUGGUGAAAUCUCACAGCUUAACUGUGAAACUGCCAUAGAUACUGGUUGUCUUGAGUACAGUUGAAGUAGGCGGAAUGUGUAAUGUAGCGGUGAAAUGCUUAGAUAUUACACAGAACACCGAUUGCGAAGGCAGCUUGCUAAGCUGUUACUGACGCUGAUGCACGAAAGCGUGGGGAGCGAACAGGAUUAGAUACCCUGGUAGUCCACGCCGUAAACGAUGAUUACUCGUUGUUGGCGAUAUAUAGUCAGCGACUGAGCGAAAGCAUUAAGUAAUCCACCUGGGGAGUACGGCGGCAACGCUGAAACUCAAAGGAAUUGACGG
This 408-nucleotide ribosomal RNA is filed under the name uncultured Bacteroidota bacterium. RNAcentral describes it as "bacterial SSU rRNA". It matches the Rfam family "Bacterial small subunit ribosomal RNA", at positions 506 to 916 of the family's 1533-position model. Lineage: Bacteria; Pseudomonadati; Bacteroidota. The record is from RNAcentral.